GCGGCGUGCUUAAGGUAUGCAAGUCGAACGAUUUUUUUGUUCCAACGCAAGGCGGAACUUUUAAGUAGUGGCGAACGGCUGAGUAACACGUAGGAAUCUACCUCUAUCCCGGAAAUAAUUCGCCGAAAGGCGGACUAAUGUCCGAUGUGAAGGAAACUUUAAAGAUUUAUCGGUUAGAGAUGAGCCUGCGGCCUAUCAGUUAGUUGGUGGGGUAAUAGCCUACCAAGACUAUGACGGGUACCUGGUCUGAGAGGAUGUCCAGGCAGAGGGGCACUGAGAUACGGGCCUCACUCCUACGGGAGGCAGCAAUCGGGAAUUUUGCACAAUGGACGAAAGUCUGAUGCAGCGACGCCGCGUGAAGGAUGAAUGCCUUCGGGUUGUAAACUUCUGAAAAUAGUACCGGCUAACUACGUGCCAGCAGCAGCGGUCAUACGUAGGGUACAAGCAUUAUCCGGAUUUAUUGGGCGUAAAGAGUUCUGUAGGUGGCUUUGUAAGUCAAAAGUGAAAUACUUCAGCCUAACUGGAGAAACGCUUUUGAUACUGUAAGGCUUGAGGUAAUUAGGGGGUAGCGGAACAUAUGGAGGAGCGGUGAUAUGCGUUGAUUUCAUAUGGAACACCAAGGGGGAAGCCAGCUACCUGGGAUUAUCCUGACACUGAGAGACGAAAGCGUGGGGAGCAAAACGGAUUAGAUACCCGUGUAGUCCACGCUGUAAACAAUGUCUGCUAGAUACCUGAGUCUUUGGGUGUCGAAGCUAACGCGUUAAGCAGACCGCCUGGGGAGUACGGUCGCAAGACUAAAACUCAAAGGAAUUGGCGGGGACCCGCACAAGCGGUGGAGCAUGCUCUUUAAUUGGCUGAUAACCCAAAAACCUUACCCAGAUUUGACAUGCAGAUGCAAACUUGAUGAAAGUCGAGUUGCCUUCGAGGGUUCUGCACAGGUGUUGCAUGGCUGUCGUCAGUUCGUACCGUGAGGCGUACCCUUCAGUGGGUCAACGAACGCAACCCCUAUUGUCAGUUGUAUCACUCUGACGAAACUGCCGUCGUAAGGCGGAGGAAGGUGGGGACGACGUCAAGUCGGUAUUGCCUUUAUGUCUGGGGCUAGAAGCAUGCUACAAUGGCGCGUACAACGGGCUGCAACACAGCGAUGUGAAGCCAAUCCCUUAAAACGCGUCUCAGUUCGGAUUGGAGUCUGCAAUUCGACUCCAUGAAGUUGGAAUCGCUAGUAAUCGGUGGU
This 1234-nucleotide ribosomal RNA is filed under the name uncultured candidate division WWE3 bacterium. RNAcentral describes it as "bacterial SSU rRNA". It matches the Rfam family "Bacterial small subunit ribosomal RNA", at positions 39 to 1349 of the family's 1533-position model. Lineage: Bacteria; candidate division WWE3. The record is from RNAcentral.